This 211-nucleotide unclassified non-coding RNA is filed under the name Hevea brasiliensis (rubber tree). Lineage: Eukaryota; Viridiplantae; Streptophyta; Magnoliopsida; Malpighiales; Euphorbiaceae. The record is from RNAcentral.
UUCACUUCCACAGAAACCAAAACGGGAAACCAAAACGGGAAAACAAACCCAAUACAACAACCACCAUGAAUGACCCUUUAACCCUUCUCAUUUUCGCGGUUUUGAUCGCUUCUUCUGUCACCCGUGUGAGCUCUGACGCCUCCAAUCACCGCUACAAGGAAGGUGACCCUGUUCCCCUCUACGCCAAUAAAGUUGGCCCCUUUCACAACCC